This is a long non-coding RNA of Malus domestica (apple), 431 nucleotides long. RefSeq lists it as uncharacterized. NCBI's taxonomy places the organism in Eukaryota, Viridiplantae, Streptophyta, Magnoliopsida, Rosales, Rosaceae. The record is from RefSeq and is a predicted model, not a curated record.
AUUGGAAAAACAUUACAGCUCUGGUUCCGGCUCUGGUGGUCAAGUUGCUAAGGAUGCUCUCGGAAACGACGUGAUUGCAGCUGAAUGGCUUAAGACUCAUGGCCCUGGUGACAGGACCCUCACACAAGGAUUGAAGGCGGAGAACAAGUUCUUAUGCCCCUGCCAUGGAUCCGUACAAUGACCAAGGAAGGGUUGUCAGAGGACCUGCUCCUUUGUCUCUGGCGUUGGCUCAUGCCGAUAUUGAUGACGGGAAGGUGUUUGUUCCAUGGGUUGAAACCGAUUUCAGAACCGGGGAAGCACCAUGGUGGUCUUAAACAUCACAAGGCAACUCUUAUGAAAAUAUGUAAUUUGAAUUGUUUCGCUAUAUCUUGCUUCUUUCAUAAACAACCUGUGUCAUAAGGUUAUUCUUCGUUGAAUUUGAAGCAUUUAUU